CUAAACCUUGCUGACACUGGCCAUGGUGGGGACUAUAACUCCAGUGGCUAUGAAUGAUGGGGGUAACACCCCACACUUUCUAAAGUGCAGGCACCCUAAACUGAGUUCCCCACAAAUCCUACUUACCCACACUCUGGGGAGCCCAGCUGGCAGUUAGCAGCUCAUUGGCAGCUUUGUUCCCUGUUAGAUUGCUGCUAAUGGCCGGCGGGCUAUAACUAGCCAUUAUGAUGAUUUGCUCUGAUAACCCAACACAUGAGCCACACUUAAUAAAUAAAAUAAUGAAUCCCUAGUAAAUAACGCUCUACAUUCGCUAAAAGUUUACAUAAAGACUGAGAACAAGGCAGUGAUAAGCAUGAUUAAAGACAAUGAUAAUGACCCGUUAUUAAAGGCAGUAGUAAUUAGAAUAAUUAGACUAUAAAACAGCUCUAUUAAUUAUCUUAUGAUACUUUAUUGGUUGUCAUGAAAUUUUAU
Non-coding RNA from Pelobates cultripes (western spadefoot toad), 471 nucleotides. NCBI's taxonomy places the organism in Eukaryota, Metazoa, Chordata, Amphibia, Anura, Pelobatidae. The record is from the annotation of a GenBank genome assembly.